This 1427-nucleotide long non-coding RNA is filed under the name Homo sapiens (human). Its description in RNAcentral is "long non-coding RNA NONHSAT172664.1". Lineage: Eukaryota; Metazoa; Chordata; Mammalia; Primates; Hominidae. The record is from RNAcentral.
CAGAGGUCUGCAGUGAGCCGAGAUUGGCCACUGCAGUGAGCCGAGAUUGGCCACUGCACUCCAGCCUGGGUGACAGAGUGAGACCCUAUCUCAAAAAAAAAAGUGGGGGCUGGGGGAGAGAGUAGCAUUUGAAAGAGUAGACUGAGUGAAGAAGAUCACCCUCACCACUGUGGGCGGCCACCAUUCAAUCCAUUGAGGGCCCAAAUAAAACAAGGAGGAAAAAGGUAAAAUUUGCUUUCUGCUUGAUCCCGUAUGUCCAUCUUCGCCUGCCCUUGGACAUCAGAGGCCCUGGCUCUCGGGCCUUCCAGCUUGGACUGGAACGACACUGGCUUUCCUGGGCCUCCCAGCUUGCAGACGGCAGAUUCUAGGACCCCUUGGCCUCCAGAAUUGCAUGAGCCAAUUCCCAUAAUACAGACGGCCCCCAACUUAUAAGGGUUCAACUGACAAUUUUUCAACCUUAUGACAGGUUUAUCGAGGUACUAAAGUUGUUUUCAACUUAGGAUGUGUUUAUUGGGAUGUAGCCUCAUUGUAAAUUGAGGGGCAUCUGUAAAUCUCAUUUUUAAUUUAAUUUUAUUUUAGAAACAGGGUCUCACUCUGUCACCGAGGCUGGAGUGCAGUGUUGCCAUCAAAGCUCACUGCAGCCUCGAACUCCCAGGCUCAAGCGAUCCUGCCGCCUCAGCCUCCGGAGCAUCUGGGACUACGGGCGUGCGCCAGCACACUUGGUAAUUUAGUUUUUUUUGUCUCACUAUGUUGCCCAGGCUGAUCUUGAACUCCUGGCCUAAAGUGAUUAUCCUGCCUCAGGCUCCCAAAGUGCUGGGAUUACAGGCAUGAACCGCAGUGCCCAGCCUAUAAAUCUAUAUAUCUAUACCUGCCUACCUAUCUACCUACCUAUCUGUAUCUCCUGUUGGUUCUGUUUCUCUGAAGAAUCCUGACUGAUACAGCACCCAAAAUAAGAAGCCAGCCUGGCCCACCUCUGCAGCCCACCCUGGCUACACCCCACCACUUGGAGCACACAAGCCCUCUGCCCUGUCCUGGAAGACCCCUCAACUGAUUCCCCUCCCAGGACCUUGGCACCUGCCUUUCCUCCCUCCAGCCCCCUCCCCAACCUCUGCACCUGCACCCAUCCUCUGUCGUUAUCCUCCGUCCACAGAAUCAGUGUUACUUCCAGGGACUAUUCUGACGUCAGACCCCUGCUUUCCUCCAUCAGCAGCUGCCACCCAUUUCUUUCCUGGCGUUUGUCACACCUCAAAGGAUUUUUGUUUCUUUGCCAUGAGCAAAAUCUCAUGGCUUUCGUUUGGGGAACCCCUGACAUCAGAGGCCUGAAAGGAGGACACAGUGCUGCUGGUUUAUUUGGGUAGUGGCCCCAGGAAGCUGGAGUGGGAGCUGGGAGAGAAGGGCAGGAGGCCAGUAGACAGGGCACAGCUGGC